GAUGAACGCUGGCGGCGUGCCUAAUACAUGCAAGUAGAGCGAAGGGACGAGAGGCUGGCGUCGCUGAUGUUAGCGGCGGACGAGUGAGUAACACGAGGAUAAUCCACUGAUGAGGCUGGGAUAACUUCGAGAAACGGGAGCUAAUACCGUAUGAGUUUUUGUACCGCAUGGUUCAAAAGUAAAAGAAGGCUUUGCCGGCACAUAUCGAUCGGUCCGCGUUGCAGAAGCUAGUUGGUAAGGUAGCGGCUUACCAAGGCAACGAUGCAUAGACGACCUGAGAGGGGGAUCGGCCACACUGGAACUGAGACACGGGCCAGAGUCCUAGGAGAGGAGGCCGUAGGGAAUCUUCCACGAUGGGCGAAGGCCUGACGGGACAACGCCGCGGGAGUGAUGAAGGUCUUCGGAUCGUAAUACUCUGUUAUUAGGAAAGAACGUUUGUCGAAGUAACUCUGCACAGCGUGACGGUACCUAAUCAGAAAGCCACGGCUAACUACGUG
This 497-nucleotide ribosomal RNA is filed under the name uncultured bacterium. RNAcentral describes it as "partial 16S ribosomal RNA". It matches the Rfam family "Bacterial small subunit ribosomal RNA", at positions 28 to 507 of the family's 1533-position model. The record is from RNAcentral.